RNAcentral lists this small nuclear RNA (102 nucleotides) under Phocoena sinus (vaquita). Lineage: Eukaryota; Metazoa; Chordata; Mammalia; Artiodactyla; Phocoenidae. The record is from RNAcentral.
UUGCUUCAGCAGCAUGUAUACUAAAAUUGGAACGACACAAAGAAGAUCAUUAUGGCCCCAUACAAGGAUGACACGCAAAAUCGUGCAACGUUCCAUAUUUUC